AAAGAUAUGAUGCAUAUACUUUAACUUUAAUAAUUCACUUUAAUAAUUAAUAAUACAAUUGAGUGUGAUGUAUUUUAAAGCACGGUACGACACAUAGACCCACAUCACAAUUUUUACACUCAUAGCGCGAUAGUGUUUUUCAAAUUGCUCUUCGGUUUCUAUUUGGUAGUGAUAUUUUGAGGUUGAAGAUUCCUCUGGAAUAUUUAGAAUAGUGCCGAGCUUUAGAAAGAUGCGACAAGUUUCUGAAACUAUUCCAUUCAGUCAUUCGUCUCGUUUCGAAAUAACGAAUGAUAGUCGAACUAAUCGAAAUAGUUUAACGACUAUUUCUGGUGGCAGCAACUACAGCUUUGAUUUAAAUAUAAUUCGAGAAAUCUAAGAUUCGAUAUCUGAAGUAACACAUGACGGUUACUGAAGAUCAAGACCAGAUCGUAACAACCAUACAAUAUGAAAAUCGGUACAGUAUCGUCAUUUAUCAAUGAUACCUUAUAUCAUUAAUAUUCAUUUGAUAUUUGUCUCAUCAUCAGUAUCAAACGAAUAUCAAAACGUGUUAAGGAAUCAAACCACGGUAGUGUCACAACCGGUACACUUCAAAACCGAUGGCUGAAUACGAAUGGCUGAAAACGGAUAUAAAGAUGUGGCGGCACUCAUCAACAAUGUAUAUCGCCAAAGCGAAGUACCUAAUGAGCCAUCAAUAUCACAAUGGUCCUUCCGCCGAAUGUUCGACAGCAGUCCCGUGGAGAAUGGAUACAUACGCGUAGAUAGUGGGGAUAUUGAGGGGCGGCAAAGGAAAAAUAAUCGAAUCCGACCGAAAGUCGAGUUGUAAGAGCUUCAGUUUUGGAAAGUCACAGCUGGAGCUCGGAACUAAAUUAUCAUUGUUGUAAUCAAGGUGUUAGUGAAUAAAUUCUCUUUUUUUUUAUUUUCAUCUUCGAUCUUUUUUAUUUUACGUGACAGUCGCGUCGCUAUUUAUCGUUACCAACGGAACGAUCCAUCCUUUGAAUUUUUUGUUCGAAGCGUCGACCGAUCCGUGUGUUUAUAAACGCGAUCGUCAUUUUCGUUCCUUUUUUUGCGUCGUACACUGUCUUCGCGCAAGCAACACCUGACUCGGUUAUCAUAGCUCCGGUGAGUGUCGCAGCGAUUAUCGGGUUCAGAGUGUUCGUAAAGAUAAUAAAUUGUUAAUAAUGGGAUUACUUUUUGUUAUUCCAAUCACUAAAUAUGGCAAUUGCGCGAGAGAUGUAACAGUCUUCUAAGAUGUGAUUUGACAACUAUGCUUUUAGGCAAUAUUUCUACCAUAUCGUAUAUACCAUAUUUCUACUUCUAUUGACUUUACCAAUUUUGGUCUGAUAAUAAUUGGGUGGAAAAUAAUUCCUAAAUUUACCACUGUAAAUCGCAGAGCAAAAGCUUUCUCUUUUAUACGAUCGGUAUUUCAGAAAGUACGACAAAAAUUUCUAUAAGAAAUUCUCACCUCGUAAGUUGUAAGAUUUACAAUGCGGACCUCGUCGAGAGGCUAAGUGGCACCCUAAGUGCUCGAUGGAUCCGCUCUAAAGUAAACCUCUUGUUCAAAACAUCAACACCCGAUGAGAACGCGACAUUAGAAAAGGACGUUACUCUACACACUCUCGACCAUGUACGCGCAAGACGGGCCACAUGAGAUACGCCCACGAUGGUUCGACAAUUACAAGAUUAGAUGAAAAUAGAUUCCCACCUCGCAGGAGAUAGACAAAGGACACCCCCCUGGACGGAGAGCUAGGAUGUAAGCACAAAUCGGUUAUCAAGCACGAGCCAUCAGGAAAAUAUCUAAGUUAAACUCCGUUACGUACAGUAUAUACUCUUCUGUGUAUUACAAAACGAUCCAAAUAAAUCAACUAAAUACAGGAUUACUCUGCGUCUUUAAUCUACCUCCACUUUGGGCGAUAAUAUCGUACAAGGUCCUUGACCGCAAUCGGACAGUUGCACCUGAUUGAUCGCUGCCUAGUUGAUAGGUCGCAACAUUGAUGGUAUUAUCGGAUUCGUUCCAUUAUAUA
Molecule: long non-coding RNA, 2021 nt
Organism: Bombus terrestris (buff-tailed bumblebee)
Lineage: Eukaryota; Metazoa; Arthropoda; Insecta; Hymenoptera; Apidae
Exons: 3
Source: RefSeq, a predicted model, not a curated record